UACAGAGGUCUCAAGCGUUGUUCGGAUUCAUUGGGCGUAAAGGGUGUGUAGGUGGCGCCGUAAGUCGGGUGUGAAAUCUCGGGGCUUAACUCCGAAACUGCAUUCGAUACUGCGGUGCUUGAGGACUGGAGAGGAGACUGGAAUUCACGGUGUAGCAGUGAAAUGCGUAGAUAUCGUAAGGAAGACCAGUGGCGAAGGCGGGUCUCUGGACAGUUCCUGACACUGAGACACGAAGGCCAGGGGAGCAAACGGG
RNAcentral lists this ribosomal RNA (253 nucleotides) under uncultured bacterium. Its description in RNAcentral is "partial 16S ribosomal RNA". It matches the Rfam family "Bacterial small subunit ribosomal RNA", at positions 524 to 776 of the family's 1533-position model. The record is from RNAcentral.